Molecule: ribosomal RNA, 252 nt
Filed under: uncultured bacterium
Lineage: Bacteria
Description: partial small subunit ribosomal RNA
Rfam family: Bacterial small subunit ribosomal RNA
Source: RNAcentral
AGGACGAACGCUGGCGGCGUGCUUAACACAUGCAAGUCGAGCGGAAAGGCCCUUCGGGGUACUCGAGCGGCGAACGGGUGAGUAACACGUGAGUAAUCUGCCCUUAGCUCUGGGAUAGCUCCGGGAAACCGGGAUUAAUACCGGAUACGACUACUACGGACAUCUGUGGUGGUGGAAAGAACUUUGGCUAGGGAUGAGCUCGCGGCCUAUCAGCUUGUUGGUGGGUAACGCCUACCAAGGCGACGACGGGUA